Molecule: long non-coding RNA, 961 nt
Organism: Sapajus apella (tufted capuchin)
Lineage: Eukaryota; Metazoa; Chordata; Mammalia; Primates; Cebidae
Exons: 2
Source: RefSeq, a predicted model, not a curated record
ACCUCAUUUUCUAGGGACAUACCCUAAACAAGUUUUCAGACAUGGUCACCACGAAUAAUUUGCCAUGAAGAAGAAUGUUCACUGCAACACUGCUUGAAAAGUAUAAAGGCUGUUUGCCCAGGAAGGGGAGCCAGAAGGUCCUGGUUUCCCCGUGAACAUAAAUCACUGUUUUGGCAGUCUACCAUGCUAUCCAUCAGACUAGCCUUUCAGAGAAAAAUGUCACAGGCAGCAGCCAUAAGCAGUUCCUAGGAGUCAUUAGACAGUCACUGAGGCAAAUCAUUUGAGAGAAGGUAAGCGAGCUCUUGACAUUCCUGGGACAGGAAGACCUGCCCUGGGAGACUCCUCUGGAGCGCCUCAGCUUCUCCUACCCUGGGGAAGGUAAUUGAUGAGUUAAUUAACAUGCACAGGAGAUGCAGCACUGUCAAAAGAAGACGGGCUGCUUCUGGUCGUCACCCACUAUCAUUACUAAGAUGAUCUCAGCCUUUCAACUUGAUUGGGAGAAACCCGUUUCCUGGGGGAAAUCUCAAUAAAAUUGUUUUCCUACCAUCAGGUGGCAAUCUUGUUAAGUGCUCCAAGGACCCUUGAUUUUAUGGGUUUAUUUUUCACAGCCCCCAGCAGCCUUGGCUAGGAUUUCAUUCUAAAAUAACAUUUUCUCUCUGUAAAAAAUGUGUUGUUGCUCCAGGCUCCAGGGCUUAGUGACCCUCAAGAGUUUUUGACUGCAUGAGACCGAGGGGUGAACUGGAGAUUUGCGAUUUAUGUCAAAUAUGCACACAGGGACACACGGUUUGAUCUGUCCUCUGUGCUUCCUCUUUUUUCCUGUAUUAUUCUCUUAGAAGAUGGGGUGAUGACUCCUGCUGUGACUACCAUCACAGUGCCCCCAUUCAACAGUUCACAAUUAGCAGUAGAUGUACAGCAAGUUUGUUUUUUUUUUUUUUCUUUUAAAUAGAUUUUAGUUUUUUUU